RNAcentral lists this transfer RNA (74 nucleotides) under Marinosulfonomonas sp. PRT-SC04. Its description in RNAcentral is "tRNA-Gly". It matches the Rfam family "tRNA". From Rfam's summary of the family: Transfer RNA (tRNA) molecules are approximately 80 nucleotides in length. RNAcentral also lists the same sequence under 6 other names. The record is from RNAcentral. Lineage: Bacteria; Pseudomonadati; Pseudomonadota; Alphaproteobacteria; Rhodobacterales; Paracoccaceae.
GCGGGUAUGGUGAAAUGGUAUCAUACGAGUUUUCCAAACUUAAGGCGCGGGUUCGAUUCCCGCUACCCGCUCCA